GGAAGUCCUCGCGCGUCUCUUGGCCUGUCUCUGCCAACGUAUCCUGAACUGUACAUGUACAGUCCCACCAGGCAGGGAACUGAUGAAAACAGACUGGAAAGAAAAAAGUAUUAUCGUGCAUAGGGACAAAUGCUCGGACCUGCUGCGCGCAUAAAAACGCAAAAACAAUAAACACGGGUGCCGGAUACGCAAGAAGGUGGUAGGGUAAGACCAAGAGUAGUGCACGAACAGUGGACGGCCGUUUUCCUCUUUCCUGCUCGAUGUAUGCAUGCAAGUAACUGUUCUGUGUGUUAAGUUUGAUGUUUCAGUCAGUCCUGUGAUGGGAAUGGCCGUCGCCUGGUAUGCGACGGUGGUCAACGGUAUAUAUACGCGACGCAGGAGAUUGCGGAAGGUAACCUCCAAAAGCUGGCUUCAAACCUCAACCCAGCUUUAAAUUGUUAGCUCGACG
This 448-nucleotide long non-coding RNA is filed under the name Volvox carteri. RNAcentral's name for it is "long non-coding RNA (VCAR_LNC002091)". Lineage: Eukaryota; Viridiplantae; Chlorophyta; Chlorophyceae; Chlamydomonadales; Volvocaceae. The record is from RNAcentral.